AUUGAACGCUGGCGGCAGGCCUAACACAUGCAAGUCGAGCGGAUGAAGGGAGCUUGCUCCUGGAUUCAGCGGCGGACGGGUGAGUAAUGCCUAGGAAUCUGCCUGGUCGUGGGGGAUAACGUCCGGAAACGGGCGCUAAUACCGCAUACGUCCUGAGGGAGAAAGUGGGGGAUCUUCGGACCUCACGCUAUCAGAUGAGCCUAGGUCGGAUUAGCUAGUUGGUGGGGUAAAGGCCUACCAAGGCGACGAUGCGUAACUGGUCUGAGAGGCUGAUCAGUCACACUGGAACUGAGACACGGUCCAGACUCCUACGGGAGGCAGCAGUGGGGAAUAUUGGACAAUGGGCGAAAGCCUGAUCCAGCCAUGCCGCGUGUGUGAAGAAGGUCUUCGGAUUGUAAAGCACUUUAAGUUGGGAGGAAGGGCAGUAAGUUAAUACCUUGCUGUUUUGACGUUACCAACAGAAUAAGCACCGGCUAACUUCGUG
This 484-nucleotide ribosomal RNA is filed under the name uncultured bacterium. RNAcentral describes it as "partial 16S ribosomal RNA". It matches the Rfam family "Bacterial small subunit ribosomal RNA", at positions 30 to 507 of the family's 1533-position model. The record is from RNAcentral.